UUAGCACUUAUGGCAAUAAACCAUAUAGUGCCGUUAUCAGAGGGCACAUGAAGUAUUGGUGUUGUGCAACCUGACGCCUAUUUGGCGAAAGUGAUAAUCGAGUUAUCUCCCUUGCUAAAGGAAGAAAACUUUGUGAAGAUCAGCCAGAGAGUUAUCAGGCUAAGUUUAUCAAAAAUUUACUUGCUUAAAUACUUUAUUUCUUCAAUAUUCAGAUGUAAUACAUUUCAAUGAUAUUUGAUGAUAUAUUGUCAGUGUAAAAAUUGCUUAUAUUAAUAAUGUGUACCGGUUGAUGGCACCGGAUCGUUGUUCAAUACAUGAAAUGGCGUGGUCGGCCAUAUUUCUUCAUAUCUCGUAUAUGAUAUAUUUGAGACCUCUGAUGAUAGUCAAACAAAUCUUCAAGCCAUCGGAAUGAAAUAUCUGGCUCAACAAUUUUGAGAUUCAGUCAAUUGUAGCAUAUUUUGUCGCACCGUGCUUAUGUUUAAAUCAAACGCCGAUGGUCGACUCGUCCCAAUCGCACCACGUUGGGUCGAGUUGUCUUUUAUUCAAAUUUGGUCUUUGUCGGACUUAACCGAUGGCAUCACGGAUAUAGGGUCGAGUUGUCUUUUAUUGAAAUUAGGUCAAGGUAUGUUAUAUUGAUUAUGGAUCUUAAAGCUUGGAAGCAAUUCAUAAAAGUUGAUACUUUAAUAAUAUAUGAAAUUACCCGUAUACUCUAUUCAUCUGCUAUAAUAUCAAAACAGCAAUCAUGUAGUGGAGCAGAAAACGUAGGACAGGGGGUACCAUGGAUCCAGCUGUUAGUCAACCGGAGGAGGCUACAGUACAGCAACCGUUGGUGUCAGCUGAGAAUGUGAGGCCACAGUCGGUUCAACAGGAACAGAUCACAGCUGGCAAUUAACAGACAUCAAGGGAACCUGAGUACAUAUGCAAUGGCGGUGGUGUGAGAAGGCAGGAUAGUCACAGCUCCUGACCCCUUUUCGACGACGGAUUCACAGCCCCAAGUGAAAACUAUUCCUUAGUGACGGGCAUUGUGACGAACUUCUAUUCCUUAUUGACGAGCAUUGUGACCAGCUUCAAAUGGCGGAUUUCGCGUUAUAAACUUUCAGAAGUCAAUUUGACUUGUUCAGAUUUCGCGGAAAGGCAUAUUUCGCGGUACAAGCAUUUAUUGGUGAUUAUUGAGUUAUUGAUUGAUAUUGAUUGAUGUAUAUUGCGCAUAUUGAUGCGAAUCAGUUGAUAUCUGUUUCCCAGUAUCUACUAAUCAGUAUUGUCAUCUGAUUGAUUUGUAGUCAGCUGAAAUCUGUUUCCCAGGAUCAGCUGAUUAAUUGAUUUGAAUUGUUGUUGAAUUGGUUGAGAACUGUUUCCCAGGAUCAUCUGAUUAAUUGAUUUGAAUUGUAUUGUUUAAUUGGUUGAGAACUGUUUCCCAGAAUCAAUCGAUUAAUUUGUUUGAUUGAAAUUGAAUUUAUUGUUGGCGUGCCAUUAUGGUCUAUUGACAGACCGGCCGCCAUAUCUUUGCAAUAAAGCUGUGACCAUAAAUCCAAA
Long non-coding RNA from Pecten maximus, 1533 nucleotides. RefSeq lists it as uncharacterized. The transcript is spliced from 2 exons. The record is from RefSeq and is a predicted model, not a curated record. Lineage: Eukaryota; Metazoa; Mollusca; Bivalvia; Pectinida; Pectinidae.